This 289-nucleotide long non-coding RNA is filed under the name Marmota monax (woodchuck). The record is from RNAcentral. Lineage: Eukaryota; Metazoa; Chordata; Mammalia; Rodentia; Sciuridae.
GUCACGUGCUAGUUCUACUGUUGGUGUUCCAGGGAAUCUCCGUGUGGUUUUCCACGCUGGCUGUGCUGAUUUACACUCCCACAACAGUGCAAGGGCCCCUUUCCUCCCCCUGCUCGCCAGCGGUCACCUUCAGUCUUCUUGGCAAUGGCCAUUCUCACUGGAGCCUGGUGAGGGCUCACGGUGGUUCUGAUCCUGAGUCCCCAGGGUUCAGUGAUCAUGAGCAGUUUUUCACAUACCUAUUGGUAUUUGAAUGUCUUCAUUUGAGAAAUAUGCUUAGUUCUAUUGUCCA